This 263-nucleotide unclassified non-coding RNA is filed under the name plant metagenome. RNAcentral's name for it is "partial contains small subunit ribosomal RNA, internal transcribed spacer 1, and 5.8S ribosomal RNA". The record is from RNAcentral.
UUUCCGUAGGUGAACCUGCGGAAGGAUCAUUAUUGUAUAACCGAGGUGCGAGGGCUGUGGCUGGCCCGAAAGCUCGUGCACGCCCGAGUUCCCUCACACACAUCCAUCUCACCCCUAAGUGCACCACCGCGUGGGUCCCCCUUUGGCUUGUUCGGAGGGGGGCUUACGUUUUCACACAAACUUUGUAUGCAGUGUAGAAUAUAUUAUUUGUGUUUGCGAUCACGCAAUCAAUACAACUUUCAACAACGGAUCUCUUGGCUCUC